This 254-nucleotide ribosomal RNA is filed under the name uncultured bacterium. Its description in RNAcentral is "partial 16S ribosomal RNA". It matches the Rfam family "Bacterial small subunit ribosomal RNA", at positions 524 to 776 of the family's 1533-position model. The record is from RNAcentral.
UACGUAGGGGGCAAGCGUUGUCCGGAUUUAUUGGGCGUAAAGAGCGUGUAGGCGGCCAGGUAGGUCUGCUGUGAAAACUCGAGGCUUAACCUCGAGCUGUCGGCGGAAACCAUCAGGCUAGAGUCCGGAAGAGGAGAAUGGAAUUCCCGGUGUAGCGGUGAAAUGCGCAGAUAUCAAGAGGAACACCUGAGGCGAAGGCGGGUUGCUAGGCUGACACUGACGCUGAGUGCGCGAAAGCCAGGGGAGCAAACGGG